This 935-nucleotide unclassified non-coding RNA is filed under the name Hevea brasiliensis (rubber tree). Lineage: Eukaryota; Viridiplantae; Streptophyta; Magnoliopsida; Malpighiales; Euphorbiaceae. The record is from RNAcentral.
AAAAAAAAAAAAAAAUCUCUCACAUGAACAAAGCCAGCAUGAAAACCACCUCUUCCAUGCCGCACGUAUUCCUCGCCCUGGACCUUUUAUUGGGCCUAGCCGAACCGGACCCAGACUCUCCUCAAGAUUACUGCAUUGCUGAUACAAAACUCUCUUUUUACUUGAAUGGUGUACCAUGUAUCAACCCAAACCUCGCAACUACUGCCCAUUUCACCGCAUCGGCCCUCGCCAAGGCUGGGAACACUAGAGCGGUAGAGCCAACCCUAUCGGCUUCAACGUCACACUCACUACUGUAGCUAAUUUACCAGGAAUAAACACCUUGGGCCUAUCCCUGGCCCGGGUUGAUAUUGCAGCGAAUGGAAUUGUGCCACCUCAUUCGAACCCACGGGCCUCGGAAGUAACUAUUUGCCUUAAGGGUUCAAUCCUUGUGGGCUUUGUUGAUACUUCUAAUCGUUUGUAUUCCCAACAAUUGCGGGCUGGGGAAUCAUUUGUGUUUCCUAAAGGAUUAAUUCUUUUUCUGUUUAAUGUAGACUCAAUGAAACCAGCACAGCACUGGCUGUUUCUGGGUUUAGCAGCCAAAAUCCUGGUGCCCAAAUAGCUUCUAUUGCAGCUUUCACAUCAAAUCCCCACAUUCCAGAUGAUGUUGUGAAGAAAGCAUUUCAAAUUACCACCCAAGAGGUCGUGAAGAUCAGUAAAAACCUUGGAGGAUAAUUAUGCCGCGAGCAAGUCUAAUAAGAGUAGAGAGCAAUGUGACUGUGACCAUCGACAAUGCCCAUGUAAUGCGAGUGUAUUACAUCCUGUGCAUCUUAGGGCAGUUCUGAGAGCCCAUAACAUGUCUCUUAUUCUAUGAAAAUAAUGAAUAUUUUUGGAGCUUCAUUGUGCAUAUUGCUUUGUUAAGGCUGUGUAUAGAAAGAGUAAAUUUGAACUCAAAGAAG